Molecule: non-coding RNA, 384 nt
Organism: Paramuricea clavata
Lineage: Eukaryota; Metazoa; Cnidaria; Anthozoa; Malacalcyonacea; Plexauridae
Source: the annotation of a GenBank genome assembly
UUUAGGUUUCCUCCUGUAGUAACACUGGAUCAAUAAGACAUGAUCCUUACUGGACCUCUAGGGAGAACAGUUUAGAACUGAUAGAGCUAUCCAGUAUAAAUAAAGUUAGUUUAGUUUUAGGUUUCCUCCUGUAGUAACACUGGAUCAAUAAGAGAUGAUCUUUACUGGACCUCUAGGGAGAACAGUUUAGAACUGAUAGAGCUAUCCAGUAUAAAUAAAGUUAGUUUAGUUUUAGGUUUCCUCCUGUAGUAACACUGGAUCAAUAAGAGAUGAUCCUUACUGGACCUCUAGGGAGAACAGUUUAGAACUGAUAGAGCUAUCCAGUAUAAAUAAAGUUAGUUUAGUUUUAGGUUUCCUCCUGUAGUAACACUGGAUCAAUAAGAG